UCGGGAAUAUUGGACAAUGGGCGAAAGCCUGAUCCAGCAACGCCGCGUGAGUGACGAAGGCCUUCGGGUCGUAAAGCUCUGUGGGGAGAGACGAAUAAGCUUUGUGCUAAUCAGCAGAGCCUUGACGGUACCUUCUUAGCAAGCACCGGCUAACUACGUGCCAGCAGCCGCGGUAAUACGUAGGGUGCAAGCGUUGUUCGGAAUUACUGGGCGUAAAGCGUGAGGAGGCGGCACGAUAAGUCUGAUGUGAAAGCCCUGGGCUUAACCCAGGAACUGCAUCGGAAACUAUUGAGCUAGAGUUCGGGAGAGGGUCGCGGAAUUCUUGGUGUAGAGGUGAAAUUCGUAGAUAUCAAGAGGAACACCGGUGGCGAAGGCGGCGACCUGGACCGAUACUGACGCUAAUACACGAAAGCGUGGGGAGCAAACAGGAUUAGAUACCCCGGUAGUCCCUGAGCGGGCUGGCAAGGCGCAU
Molecule: ribosomal RNA, 472 nt
Filed under: uncultured bacterium
Lineage: Bacteria
Description: bacterial SSU rRNA
Rfam family: Bacterial small subunit ribosomal RNA
Source: RNAcentral